Molecule: non-coding RNA, 2613 nt
Organism: Solanum lycopersicum (tomato)
Lineage: Eukaryota; Viridiplantae; Streptophyta; Magnoliopsida; Solanales; Solanaceae
Source: RefSeq, a predicted model, not a curated record
UUGUUGCUGCUCUGGAUGCUCUAACAAUUCACGACACUUUUGCCUUCUAUUUAUGCGUCCUUUAAAUAUUCAUGAGCUCAUAAUGUAAAGCUGAUGUAAGUAAGUGGUGUGGUCCCUGAAUAAUAAUGAAACAACAAAUGUCAUAAAUGUGAAUAACUGGGUUAAUGUUCGUACCCAACAAAUGUCUUGGGCUAAGAAUUAUAUGCAAUGUUAAGGGGUAUAUAACUGUCUAAAGUUUUCCUAGAGGAUUUCCUUACUAAAUACUCUCGUCUCAAUCUAUACGUCUCACUUUCCUUUUUAGUCAGUCCCAAAAGAAUGACGUAUUUCUAUAUUUAGUAACAAUUCAACUUUAAAAUGCUCAUAUUACCCUUAGUGAAAUGAUUUAUAGCCACAAAAAUAUGUGAAUUAUUUUAGACCACAAGUUUCAAAGUCUAUCUUUCUUUCUUCAACUUUAUGCCAAGUCAAAUUACAUCACAUAAAUUGGGACGGAGGGAGUAGCAAAUGUCAAAUGCUUACUGACAUGAAUGUCCAUUAUCUGUGUAGUACAGGGAUUAAAUUAGAAGAUAGUGAAUCAGGACGAGGUUUGAGUCUGAAUAACUAGAGGGUAUCACUUCACAAAAACAUCAUUCCAUAUGUGUCUUGUUACCAAGCUCACUGAUACAGAGCAACUCUGUUGAAUGAGUUAUCAUAGGGUAACAGUACUUCAGGAGUACUGAUGAGACCUGAACAUUAUAACAAGCACAUUAAACCCCACAAGUAGUGCAGUGCAGAGAAACUUUCGUGCCUAUGAGUAUUAUACUUAUAUAUACUAUAUGCUUUAGAAGGAAUGGAAAGAGGAUUAUGCUAGUGUAUCAAGACAAUCUUUUUAUAUUUGUUAUUUGAGAAAUAAAUUUAUUUAUAAAGAUUUAGAUCUACAGACUAUUAUGAACAAUUAAAAUGGGUGUAUGCAAACUUGAAAUAUAAAUGAGAGAGUGUUAAGACUUGAGAGUUAUAUUAACAAAGAAUAAAUGUUUUGAUUGACUUUGCCUUCCUAUGCUAAGUGAUUCUUUUGAUUCUAUAGACAUCUCUUAUUCCCGUCCAACUAAAUGAUCCAAAAGAUGCCAAGAGAUUCCUGAGAAUUUUCACAGAAAAAGCACAUACUGCAGAGAGAAUCAAACUUACUAGCAUCAAAGAUCGUAGGUUCAAAAAAAUUAGAAGUUGACCAAUUUCAUCAUCUUCCCAAUCAUCAAAAUUUCUCCUGAAGUGAGUCUUCAUUCCUCCUCUGUCUAGCAUUCUGCAAUUGUACACUGUUUUUUUCCUGGUUAAACUAUACAAUGUAGGAUAUUGUUCAUCACUUUUUCUUCUCCCAGCCAAACAUCUUGUCAAAGAUCUGAUUCUUCUCCCAUCACCAACUUCCAAUGAGAUGUAUUUCUGAAAUUCUGACCAUAAUCUACCUAUUUGCUCCCAUACGCCACUUUUUGUAGGUGUAGACACUACAGGGUGUCCAGAACCCUUCUCUAAUGUCAAUAAGCUUCUUGCAGGUUUCUCUCCAUUCACAUUGUAUCUUCACAACCAUUUUGAACAACAAACUCUUGUUGUGAAGUUUCAAAUCUUUUACUCCCAAACCUCCACCUUGCUUACCUUUUAUAACCUCCAGCCAUUUUACCAGAUGAACGUUUUCAUUUCAGCAUUUCCUUCCCAAAGAAACUGACUUCUCAUGGAGUUUAACUUCUUUUAUCAUCUAUUUCCCUCCAGUAGGGUUUUUAUACUACUAAUGUUUUGGGGCAUCCGGACAGUUAGAUUCCAGCUAAUCCACAUUGCUGAAGGUACUGUCUUUUUUGUUCUUGUGCUUCAUUUAUCCUAUGCUGGGUGGGGACUUGUGUAAUGCCGCAGUGGUGUGCUCCUUCUAACUAAACAUCAUUCUCACUCAACUUUGCAACCUUCUUCUUUUCUUCAAAAACCACUUUUUUUUUUCUUUUUGUUGGUUAGACUUAGCAAAGGUAGGGGUAAGGCUUCGUACAGACCACCCUCCUUAGACCCCAUUUGUGGGAUUACAUUGUUUUUUAUUUUAUUGUUCAAAAACCAAUAUAGUCGGGUGAAAAGUGUCAAAAACAUUCCGAUCUAAAUCAGAUAGCUAUAUUUGUGUCAAAUCAAUGUUAUUUCCUCCUGUCAAGUACCACAUUUUAUGGUAACUUAUUGUUUUUUUUUGUUGGUUGUUUUUUCAUGGCUGUUGCAUAAGUACCUUUCAUAUGCUUAUUCCUUCUUCGAGUACUAUAUUCGUUCCAUCUGUGAUCUCUAUAAAUAGUAGUCUGAGGAAUGCUUAUUAAAGGUCUCGUCUUUGCAUUCAAUGCAUCUCCAUAACAAGAAUUGGGAUGCAGGUUAUAGUUGUGGUCAAGUCAUUAGUCUCUUGAAUUCUGAGAGAGCCUUUUAAGUAUUUGUAGGUUAAUAUUUAGCUCCAACUUCUUACAAUUCUCACUAUUAGAUGACUGGUUUGCAGAAAUAGUGCUCCUCUUGCAUUUAAGAACUAUAGGGUAUUAGACCUUACCAAGCGUCUUCCACUAUUUUUCAUUUUACGCACACAUGCAUGUGGGUACUAAAUGGUAAGUUUUCUUUAAGAAAGAUCUAUUUGGCAAA